AUGGAAACAGAACAAUACAAAGAAAAAAUCAGACAACUUCUAGAUCCCACAAUUUACAAGAAACUGAAACAAGACCCUACUAACAAAAUCACCAGAAAAACGAACACUCUAAUCAAGAACUCCUCCAUUAACUUUGACAUACACCAACAGCUGUGCAAAUCAGAAGCCCUCCCACCCAGGCUUUACGGACUCCCCAAAAUCCACAAGGACUCCAUCCCACUCAGACCCAUUGUAAGUGCCAUUGGAUCGCCGACCUACAACCUGGCAAAAUUUCUGGCUACACAGCUACAAACCCAUAUUGGGCUCACUGCACAUUAUAUCAAGGACUCUACACACUUUAUAGAAAAGAUCAGCAACCUCAAUCUAAGCACCAAGGACAUCCUGAUCAGCUUUGAUGUGGUGUCCCUUUUUACCAAAGUCCCAGUAGCUGACACCACACUAAUCAAACAAAACUUCCCAGAAGACAUCACAGCCCUGUUUCACCAUUGCCUCACCACUAGCUACUUUCAGUGGGACACUGGAUUCUAUGAACAGAAGGAUGGAGUGGCCAUGGGGAGCCCUCUCAGUCCAGUAGUAGCAAAUUUCUAUAUGGAAUACUUUGAAAAACAGGCCCUAGAAACAGCACCAAAAAAGCCAACUGUUUGGUUCAGAUACGUUGAUGACACCUUCACAAUUUGGAGCCAUGGAGAGGAAGAACUCAGCAAGUUCCUGGACCAUCUUAACAGCAUCCACCCAAACAUCCAAUUCACCAUGGAAAAAGAAAAGGAAGGAAAACUGCCAUUUCUAGAUGUUCUGGUCAUCUGCAAACCCAAUCAACAAUUGGGCCACACAGUUUAUAGAAAACCUACACACACAGAUAGAUACCUUCAUAAAAACUCCAACCAUCACCCAAGUCAAAAAAGGAGCACAAUCAAAGCCCUGACAGACCGUGCACAAAGAAUCUGCGAACCUCACCUCCUCCAAGGUGAACUAAACCACCUAAACUGGGCUCUACAGGCCAAUGGAUACUCCACCACAGACAUCAGAAGAGCUGCAAGGCCAAGAACAAGCCAUGAGAGUCAAGACAAAGAUCCACCCAGAGGAAAGGUGUUCUUACCAUACAUCAAGGAAACCACUGACCGCAUAGGCAAACUGAUGAAUAAGCACAACCUACAAACUAUCUACAGACCCACAAAGAAAAUCCAACAAAUGCUACGGUCAGCAAAGGACAAGAGGGAUCCUCUCUCCUCUGCAGGAGUCUACCGGAUACCAUGCAGCUGUGGACAAGUAUACAUAGGGACCACCAAACGCAGCACCCAAACAAGAGUCAAAGAACAUGAAAGGCACUGCAGACUAAUUCAACCAGAGAAAUCAGCCAUAGCAGAACAUUUGAUGAACCCGCCUGGACACAGAAUAUUAUUUGAGAACACAAAAAUGCUGGACCAUUCCAACAACUAUCAUGUCAGACUACACAGAGAAGCCAAUGAAAUCCACAAGCAUGUGGACAAUUUCAACAGAAAGGAAGAAACCAUGAAAAUGAACAAAAUCUGGCUACCAGUAUUACAAAACUCCAAAAUCAAAACAGUAGAUGGGAACCAAAACUCUGAGGGCUUGAUUGACAAAGGAUGCCCCCAGGCAAGAGACAAAAACAUCUCCAAUGCUAAUUAG
RNAcentral lists this long non-coding RNA (1647 nucleotides) under Anolis carolinensis (green anole). Its description in RNAcentral is "lncRNA (ENSACAG00000045100.1)". Lineage: Eukaryota; Metazoa; Chordata; Lepidosauria; Squamata; Anolidae. The record is from RNAcentral.